CCGGUUGAUCCUGCCGGAGGCUACCGCUAUUGGAGUUCGAUUAAGCCAUGCGAGUCGCGAGUCUUAGGGACUCGGCGUACCGCUCAGUAACACGUGGGUAACCUGCCCUAUGCUGGGGGAUAACCUCGGGAAACUGAGAAUAAUACCCCAUAGUUCACCACGCCUGGAACGGUUGGUGGACCAAAGCUCCGGCGGCAUAGGAUGGGCCUGCGGCGUAUCAGGUUGUAGGGGGUGUAAUGUACCCUCUAGCCCUCUACGCGUACGGGUGUUGAGAGACAUCGCCCGGAGAUGGAUUCUGAGACACGAAUCCAGACCCUACGGGGUGCAGCAGGCGCGAAAACUUGGCAAUGCGAGAAAUCGUGACCAGGGAACUCCAAGUGCAUCGGGUAAGACCGAUGCUUUUCUUGACUCUUCAAAGGUCUUGGAAUAAGGGGUGGGUAAGGACGGUGCCAGCCGCCGCGGUAAUACCGGCGCCCCAAGUGGUAGUCGCUUUUAUUGGGCCUAAAACGUCCGUAGCCGGUCUGGUACAUUCGUGGGUAAAUCAACCAGCUCAACUGGUUGAAUUCUGCGAGCACGGCCAGACUUGGGACCGGGAGAGGUGUGGGGUACUCUCAGGGUAGGGGUAAAAUCCUGUCAUCCUGAGAGGACCACCUGUUGCGAAGGCGCCACACUAGAACGGAUCCGACGGUCAGGGACGAAGCCUAGGGGCACGAACCGGAUUAGAUACCCGGGUAGUCCUAGGUGUAAACGCUGUGGACUUGAUGUUGGGGGCGCUCCGAGCGCACUCAGUGUCGAAGCGAAGGUGAUAAGUCCACUGCCUGGGGAGUACGGUCGCAAGGCUGAAACUUAAAGGAAUUGGCGGGGGAGCACCGCAACCUGAGGAUUGUGCG
RNAcentral lists this ribosomal RNA (890 nucleotides) under uncultured archaeon. RNAcentral's name for it is "bacterial SSU rRNA". It matches the Rfam family "Archaeal small subunit ribosomal RNA", at positions 4 to 899 of the family's 1478-position model. The record is from RNAcentral.